RNAcentral lists this unclassified non-coding RNA (302 nucleotides) under uncultured fungus. RNAcentral's name for it is "partial contains small subunit ribosomal RNA, internal transcribed spacer 1, and 5.8S ribosomal RNA". The stretch from base 1 to 73 matches the Rfam family "Eukaryotic small subunit ribosomal RNA", at positions 1759 to 1831 of the family's 1831-position model. The record is from RNAcentral. Lineage: Eukaryota; Fungi.
GCAAACUUGGUCAUUUAGAGGAAGUAAAAGUCGUAACAAGGUUUCCGUAGGUGAACCUGCGGAAGGAUCAUUACCGAAUGGACCUGCACCUCGCCUUCUGCGUGGGUGCUCAUUGGCGCCUCUUGAUCUUGAUCUUGGUGCUCAUCACUCCUCACCACAAGGUUGGGGUUGGGUUGGGUUGCCACUUUCAAGAUGUCCUAUGCUACACACAAACCUUGUCAUUGUAUGGUGUUGAACAUUGAACAUGCAAUACAACUUUCAACAACGGAUCUCUUGGCUCUCGCAUCGAUGAAGAACGCAGC